CAAAGAACUUUGAAGAGAGAGUUCAAGAGGACGUGAAACCACAAGGGGCGAAACGGAUAGAGUUAACGAAAUCAGUUGUAAUCAGUACAUGGCGCUGCUGAAGUGUAGUCGUUCUGCUUGGGAAACCAAGGCGGCUGCGCUUUUGCUUCGCUGGUGCCUAGUACGCAUUUACAGCUGGUAAUGCCGAUUUCUAUGGCGGCUCCUUCUGAACAUUCAGUGCGGGACCCACAUUAGUGGUGCGCCGUCUGGGUGGAAAGUUGAGUGGCUGCUAUGGAUGUGCAAAGCCUCGCCUUUGCGUCGGUCGUGCGCGUAUAUUAGUCGGUCUAGCUUCCUGGCAUGCCAGAGUGAAACCGGCUGGUUUAUGUGUAUGUGCCUUCGUGGGGCUUGGUAUCGGCGUGAAAGUUGACCACCUAUCCGACCCGUCUUGAAACACGGACCAAGAAGUCUAGUAUAUGCGCGAGUCAUUGGGUGCAAAACCUAUUGGCGAAAUGAAAGUAAAGGCUAGCUUGCUAGCUGAUAUGUGAUCCGUUGAGAAAUCGGCGGCGCAACAUAGCCCCAUGCCAGCUGCUUGCAGCGGUGUGGAGGUAGAGCGUAUAUACUGGGACCCGAAAGAUGGUGAACUAUGCCUGAGCAGGACGAAGCCAGAGGAAACUCUGGUGGAGGUCCGAAGCGGUUCUGACGUGCAAAUCGAUCGUCUGACUUGGGUAUAGGGGCGAAAGACUAAUCGAACCAUC
Molecule: ribosomal RNA, 734 nt
Filed under: Myctolaimus sp. RGD903
Lineage: Eukaryota; Metazoa; Nematoda; Chromadorea; Rhabditida; Cylindrocorporidae
Description: eukaryotic LSU rRNA
Rfam family: Eukaryotic large subunit ribosomal RNA
Source: RNAcentral